GCCUUAGGAGGCAUAUGUACGACUGAUAAGUUGUUCAGAUCUUCAUGUGCAUAGUUUUUCUCUUUUUAUUGACUUGAGAUCAGUCAAGCUGUUUCAGUAUUUCGGCAUGUUGUUCUCGGCUGACGAUCAUCUUUUUUUUCCCGUGAAAAUGUAUAGGGUUCGCAGAGCUGUCACCGCUGUUCGGCACACUGUUGCACCAGGGGCAAGACUCUGGCAUGAGCAUGCCUCCACAAGACUGCAGCAUGACGGAUCAGAUGACUCCACAUUGUUUCGUGCAGUCAGUACCCCAUAUCACACUGACGGGCAGACAGCAGUUGCAUCACUUUCUGCUAAAGAACAAGCCCUGUUCUCUCACAUCGCAGACAAAUGUUCACAACUCGGCGAGUGGUGCGUAUUCCAUCACAUUCUGGACAGACUCGCAGAUGGUGGAGAAUUUGGAGGGCUGCAUUGACGAUCCACUCAACUGUGUGCACAGUGCCCAGAUGCCAUCUUGCUGUUAUAGCUAUGGUGUUUAUGUGACUUUCGCAUUUGAGUUUCUGAUGAACGGUGAUCUCCAGGAUGUUAACACUGGAGGACUCUUGUAUGGUACUGCCAUUGAAAGUCAGGUCACAAUUUUAAACCAAUCUUCACGAAACUUCACCACAUGGUCGAGUUUGUUAUAAGGAAGAAACCUAUUAUUUUUGAGGUCAAAAGGUCAACAUAGACCAAAGGUUUGUUGCAGCCAAAAUGGGCUUGCUCCUCAUUUUCAGCUGUGCUUGGUGCUGCUUGUAGCAUAACUUUUAAAAGGCACUCUUCACUGAACCAAGCUUGGGUUCUUGGUUUGAUUGUGAUGGAGGAGUGAGGUAUGUACCUGGUCAUAAAGUUGCAUAAUGUGGUUGGAUACUUUUCUGCUGCUGUUAAUGGUCCACAGUACCUCAUGACGGAUUCCCAGUUUUAGGUUGCCACCUCUGUUCCUCAUAUGCCCCACUUGACAUCAUGUUUAUACCACACCACCUGAUGGAUAUUUUUUAUUUCAUUGAUGCAUAUCAGAAUUUGCCUUCACAAGUACAAUACUGUGGUUGCUCUUUUCAUUGAUGUCUUUCCAAUUCUGCAACAGGUGAGUUUGUCAAGCAGUUUGCAUCAUAUUAGUUAUUUUGCAACCCAAAUGCAGGCCCGGUCUGGAAAUCAUAUCCUUCAGGACUUUGCCAGGUCAUUUGGUUUGUCUUUUUGAGCUAAUCAGGUGACCACAAAGCAUCUUAUAGUGCUCUACACAGUACAUCAUCAUCAUCAUCAUCAUCAUCAUCAUCAUCAUCAUCAUCAUCAUCUUAUGGCCGUUUCCAUGUAUCCAUAUACAUAUAUAUGAAUAUAUGUAUGUAUAUGUGUAUAUUGUUGCGGUCUUCGCGCCCG
RNAcentral lists this long non-coding RNA (1386 nucleotides) under Eptatretus burgeri (inshore hagfish). RNAcentral describes it as "lncRNA (ENSEBUG00000017249.1)". The record is from RNAcentral. Lineage: Eukaryota; Metazoa; Chordata; Myxini; Myxiniformes; Myxinidae.